UAGGGAAUCUUCGGCAAUGGACGAAAGUCUGACCGAGCAACGCCGCGUGAGUGAAGAAGGUUUUCGGAUCGUAAAACUCUGUUGUUAGAGAAGAACAAGGACGUUAGUAACUGAACGUCCCCUGACGGUAUCUAACCAGAAAGCCACGGCUAACUACGUGCCAGCAGCCGCGGUAAUACGUAGGUGGCAAGCGUUGUCCGGAUUUAUUGGGCGUAAAGCGAGCGCAGGCGGUUUCUUAAGUCUGAUGUGAAAGCCCCCGGCUCAACCGGGGAGGGUCAUUGGAAACUGGGAGACUUGAGUGCAGAAGAGGAGAGUGGAAUUCCAUGUGUAGCGGUGAAAUGCGUAGAUAUAUGGAGGAACACCAGUGGCGAAGGCGGCUCUCUGGCCUGUAACUGACGCUGAGGCUCGAAAGCGUGGGGAGCAAACAGG
RNAcentral lists this ribosomal RNA (429 nucleotides) under Chloroflexota bacterium. RNAcentral's name for it is "Chloroflexi bacterium partial 16S ribosomal RNA". It matches the Rfam family "Bacterial small subunit ribosomal RNA", at positions 355 to 776 of the family's 1533-position model. Lineage: Bacteria; Bacillati; Chloroflexota. RNAcentral also lists the same sequence under 1 other name. The record is from RNAcentral.